RNAcentral lists this non-coding RNA (31 nucleotides) under Mus musculus (house mouse). Lineage: Eukaryota; Metazoa; Chordata; Mammalia; Rodentia; Muridae. The record is from RNAcentral.
UUUACUUGUCGACUUAAAGUGAGAUGGUUUC